AAGCGAAACCAUAGCGGAUGUGUUCGCUAUGGUCUGCCGGACGGGGUUGUCCGGUACUGAUGAGCAGCCAAGG
This 73-nucleotide non-coding RNA is filed under the name Undibacterium sp. The record is from RNAcentral. Lineage: Bacteria; Pseudomonadati; Pseudomonadota; Betaproteobacteria; Burkholderiales; Oxalobacteraceae.